This 200-nucleotide long non-coding RNA is filed under the name Mustela putorius furo (domestic ferret). Its description in RNAcentral is "lncRNA (ENSMPUG00000026414.1)". Lineage: Eukaryota; Metazoa; Chordata; Mammalia; Carnivora; Mustelidae. The record is from RNAcentral.
GUUGAUCACAGGGCUGUGAGUUCGAGCCCCACGUAAAAAAAGGAUACUGCUUCCCACUUACUCUUAGUCAAAAGGCCAAGAAGCAGUGAAAGAACCAGUGGAAGAUAUUGCUUCUCAAACCAAUGCAAGUAAACAUCCAGGAGAGAGGUUGUAGGAUAUGUCAUUUUUGUCUGAUGUCUAUGGUGUCCUUUGGUAAUGCA